AAAUGCGAUAAUUAGUGUGCAUUGCAGAAUUCAGUGAAUCAUCGAAUCUUUGAACGCACAUUGCGCCCUUUGGUAUUCCUUAGGGCAUGCCUGUUCGAGCGUCAUCUAAACCUUCAAGCCCUGCUUGGUGUUGGGUGCCUGUCCCGCCUCCGCGCGCGGACUCACCUCAAAUCCAUUGGCGGCCCCCGCGUCGGCCACGAGCGCAGCAGAAACGCGAACUCGUGAGCCCGUCCGGGCGGCUCCCAGAAGCUACACCCACCCAGUUUGACCUCGGAUCAGGUAGGGAUACCCGCUGAACUUAAGC
RNAcentral lists this unclassified non-coding RNA (304 nucleotides) under plant metagenome. Its description in RNAcentral is "partial contains 5.8S ribosomal RNA, internal transcribed spacer 2, and large subunit ribosomal RNA". The stretch from base 1 to 104 matches the Rfam family "5.8S ribosomal RNA", at positions 51 to 154 of the family's 154-position model. The record is from RNAcentral.